This 348-nucleotide unclassified non-coding RNA is filed under the name soil metagenome. RNAcentral describes it as "partial contains 5.8S ribosomal RNA, internal transcribed spacer 2, and large subunit ribosomal RNA". The stretch from base 1 to 120 matches the Rfam family "5.8S ribosomal RNA", at positions 35 to 154 of the family's 154-position model. The record is from RNAcentral.
GAUGAAGAACGUAGCGAAAUGCGAUAAGUAAUGUGAAUUGCAGAAUUCAGUGAAUCAUCGAAUCUUUGAACGCACAUUGCGCCCGCCAGUAUUCUGGCGGGCAUGCCUGUCUGAGCGUCAUUUCAACCCUCAUGCCCCUAGGGUGUGGUGUUGGGGAUCGGCCAAAGCCCGCGAGGGACGGCCGGCCCCUAAAUCUAGUGGCGGACCCGUCGUGGCCUCCUCUGCGAAGUAGUGAUAUUCCGCAUCGGAGAGCGAUGAGCCCCUGCCGUUAAACCCCCAACUUUCCAAGGUUGACCUCAGAUCAGGUAGGAAUACCCGCUGAACUUAAGCAUAUCAAUAAGCGGAGGA